This 466-nucleotide ribosomal RNA is filed under the name uncultured ammonia-oxidizing beta proteobacterium. RNAcentral describes it as "bacterial SSU rRNA". It matches the Rfam family "Bacterial small subunit ribosomal RNA", at positions 198 to 645 of the family's 1533-position model. Lineage: Bacteria; Pseudomonadati; Pseudomonadota; Betaproteobacteria. The record is from RNAcentral.
GGAAGAAAGCAGGGGAUCGUAAGACCUUGCGCUUUUGGAGUGGCCGAUGCCUGAUUAGCUAGUUGGUGGGGUAAGAGCCUACCAAGGCGACGAUCAGUAGUUGGUCUGAGAGGACGACCAGCCACACUGGGACUGAGACACGGCCCAGACUCCUACGGGAGGCAGCAGUGGGGAAUUUUGGACAAUGGGCGAAAGCCUGAUCCAGCAAUGCCGCGUGAGUGAAGAAGGCCUUCGGGUUGUAAAGCUCUUUCAGUCGAGAAGAAAAGGUUGCGACUAAUAAUCGCAACUUAUGACGGUAUCGACAGAAGAAGCACCGGCUAACUACGUGCCAGCAGCCGCGGUAAUACGUAGGGUGCGAGCGUUAAUCGGAAUUACUGGGCGUAAAGGGUGCGCAGGCGGCUCUGUAAGUCAGAUGUGAAAUCCCCGGGCUUAACCUGGGAAUUGCGUUUGAAACUAUAAAGCUAGA